Non-coding RNA from Streptococcus agalactiae LMG 14747, 109 nucleotides. The record is from Rfam. NCBI's taxonomy places the organism in Bacteria, Bacillati, Bacillota, Bacilli, Lactobacillales, Streptococcaceae.
AAUGUGAGUUUCGUCGCUUUUCAUUAUAGAUCAUAUGGGGCUUUUUUCUACCCUUAAAAAGGCUCCAUAAUCUCCAUAGGGGAUUUACCCACUACAGUCUUAUAGAGCC